UGGCGAACGGGUGAGUAACGCGUGAGGAACCUGCCUCAAAGAGGGGGACAACAGUUGGAAACGACUGCUAAUACCGCAUAAGCCCACGACCCGGCAUCGGGAAGAGGGAAAAGGAGCAAUCCGCUUUGAGAUGGCCUCGCGUCCGAUUAGCUAGUUGGUGAGGUAACGGCCCACCAAGGCAACGAUCGGUAGCCGGACUGAGGGGUUGAACGGCCACAUUGGGACUGAGACACGGCCCAG
RNAcentral lists this ribosomal RNA (240 nucleotides) under uncultured bacterium. Its description in RNAcentral is "partial 16S ribosomal RNA". It matches the Rfam family "Bacterial small subunit ribosomal RNA", at positions 96 to 334 of the family's 1533-position model. The record is from RNAcentral.